UGGCUCAGAUUGAACGCUGGCGGCAGGCUUAACACAUGCAAGUCGAACGAUGACUCUCUAGCUUGCUAGRGAUGAUUAGUGGCGGACGGGUGAGUAACAUUUAGGAAUCUACCUAGUAGUGGGGGAUAGCUCGGGGAAACUCGAAUUAAUACCGCAUACGACCUACGGGUGAAAGGGGGCGCAAGCUCUUGCUAUUAGAUGAGCCUAAAUCAGAUUAGCUAGUUGGUGGGGUAAAGGCCCACCAAGGCGACGAUCUGUAACUGGUCUGAGAGGAUGAUCAGUCACACCGGAACUGAGACACGGUCCGGACUCCUACGGGAGGCAGCAGUGGGGAAUAUUGGACAAUGGGGGCAACCCUGAUCCAGCCAUGCCGCGUGUGUGAAGAAGGCCUUUUGGUUGUAAAGCACUUUAAGCAGGGAGGAGAGGCUAAUGGUUAAUACCCAUUAGAUUAGACGUA
This 457-nucleotide ribosomal RNA is filed under the name Enhydrobacter sp. R-45683. RNAcentral's name for it is "bacterial SSU rRNA". It matches the Rfam family "Bacterial small subunit ribosomal RNA", at positions 20 to 476 of the family's 1533-position model. The record is from RNAcentral. Lineage: Bacteria; Pseudomonadati; Pseudomonadota; Alphaproteobacteria; Hyphomicrobiales.